This 238-nucleotide ribosomal RNA is filed under the name uncultured Pseudomonas sp. RNAcentral's name for it is "partial 16S ribosomal RNA". It matches the Rfam family "Bacterial small subunit ribosomal RNA", at positions 116 to 355 of the family's 1533-position model. Lineage: Bacteria; Pseudomonadati; Pseudomonadota; Gammaproteobacteria; Pseudomonadales; Pseudomonadaceae. The record is from RNAcentral.
CCUAGGAAUCNUGCCUGGUAGUGGGGGACAACGUUUCGAAAGGAGCGCUAAUACCGCAUACGUCCUACGGGAGAAAGCAGGGGACCUUCGGGCCUUGCGCUAUCAGAUGAGCCUAGGUCGGAUUAGCUAGUUGGUGAGGUAAUGGCUCACCAAGGCGACGAUCCGUAACUGGUCUGAGAGGAUGAUCAGUCACACUGGAACUGAGACACGGUCCAGACUCCUACGGGAGGCAGCAGUU